RNAcentral lists this long non-coding RNA (684 nucleotides) under Pan troglodytes (chimpanzee). Its description in RNAcentral is "long non-coding RNA NONPTRT003290". The record is from RNAcentral. Lineage: Eukaryota; Metazoa; Chordata; Mammalia; Primates; Hominidae.
GAGGACACUGGCACAGAGAUGGGGGAUAGUCAGAACAUCUCUGGGAACUCCUCGUGCUGCAGGGACUGAAAGUCUCGGCCUUUGCCCCACCCCGAAGAGAAAGGCCUCUCACCUUGCAGUUGACCAGAAGAGCUGGAAUCUCUGUCCUGCUGGUCUUCCUCCUGCUCUCCUGGCCAUGAAUCAGGGCCUGCAUCCGGGGAGGCUCCCCCUGAAGCCAAUUCGGGUUUCCCUCCACCAGGCGUCUUUGGAUCACACUGCGCGGCUGCUGGCUCCAUCACAAAACAAUGAAGACUCCCCACAGCUCUCUCGGAUCCUUGGAACACCUUCUUAAGUUCAUAACCUGUCUCCAGACCUGUUACCUUUCAAAUACAUCUGCUUGGAGCUUCAGCCUGGAAGCUAAAAACCUUGCUACUCCAAAAUGUGGUCCUCAGAUCAGCAACUUUAACAUCAUUUCGAAGCCUCUUAAAAAUGCACUCUCAUACCUACUGAAUCAGAUGUUUCAUUGUGACAAGAUCCCCAGGUGAUUCAUGUACAGGUUAAAGUUUGAGAAGCACCAAAGUAAAACAUGAAACUAACCAUGUAUUCUCUUAUUUAAAAUGCAUCAAAGACCCCCCACCCUACCCCGCAUUGCUUGCAUGAUAGAGCUCAAGCUUUUGAAGGUGAUCCACAGUCCACAUGACCGGG